UUCGUUGUUAAAGUUGAUUGGGGACUAUGAUCCUAUAUUUUUGGUGUUUAUUUUGGAUGGUCCGGAGUUUUUGGCUGCAACUAUGUUGGACAGAGAUAUGCUUGCUAUGGCUGGAAAUUGGUACCAUGUCGGUUGGUUUUGCUUGGCAAGAUUUGUGACGAUGCGUCGGACAAACAACAUUGGGAUAAGAUACAGCCUUGAGCCUUGGCAAGUUAACACAUUAGUUAGGGUUAUGAAGUUUUUCAUGGCACCGACGCAUUAUUGAGCAGUAGCG
Molecule: long non-coding RNA, 274 nt
Organism: Helianthus annuus (common sunflower)
Lineage: Eukaryota; Viridiplantae; Streptophyta; Magnoliopsida; Asterales; Asteraceae
Exons: 3
Source: RefSeq, a predicted model, not a curated record